Camarhynchus parvulus is the source of this 497-nucleotide long non-coding RNA. RefSeq lists it as uncharacterized. Lineage: Eukaryota; Metazoa; Chordata; Aves; Passeriformes; Thraupidae. The record is from RefSeq and is a predicted model, not a curated record. The transcript has 4 exons.
GUGUUUCCCCAGGAAGAAGCAAACAAGACAAGUCCUGAGGGUUACCUUGCUCUGUGGCCCAAGCUCUUCUGGAGAGUGCCAGGGGGCGUUUCCUGCAGGGGAGGAGCUGUGCCUGCACCGUGGCUCCUCGGCCAGGGGCUGCUCUGACCGGGCACGUGGAAAUGCCUCAGCCCAGACAGAGAGCACCAAGAGCCCAGAAGGACCCCAAGGAGCAGCUGGCAUUACCUGGGAAUGGAGGUGCCCUGGUGACACCAUGUUGGUCCCUUUGCCUUUCUCCAGCCCGAGGCUGCUCCUCUGCUCGCUCUCUCCAGUCUCAUCCCACAGGGAUCCUCUUCUCCCUUCCCUGCUGGCUGCUGCCAAGGAAGGAGGACACAAUUACACCAGGUUUUCAGCUAAAGGAAUGGCAUCAUCUAUGCCCACUGCUCGUUAUUCACCCAACCAAAAUCUAGAGCAAAUGUUGGUUGGGCUUUAAUAAGAACUUGAAAUAACUUUAAAAC